Molecule: long non-coding RNA, 603 nt
Organism: Zeugodacus cucurbitae (melon fly)
Lineage: Eukaryota; Metazoa; Arthropoda; Insecta; Diptera; Tephritidae
Exons: 3
Source: RefSeq, a predicted model, not a curated record
AAACUUAUUGGUGUCACUUAUGGCGUAGAACUUUCGAAGCGAUGGAGCACAUAUUCCACGCACGCAAAUCCAGAACAAUGUAUGGAAACGUUGCUACAUGGAACACAAAUCAUUUACACACCAGAUAUUAAGUUUUAUGUCACUUUAUGCAGCUAAACACAGAAAUUAAAGGGAGGACUUUUUUGAUUAAUUUUCACCUUGUAUUGAGGAAUCAUAACGUUGUUGUAUCUCUUUACACGGACAUAAAUUCACCGAAAUUAGUUCAAUGGAAAUACUACAGCAAGAGUAUGGAUGUUAAGAUUUGAACGGUGCCAACAUAAGAAACCCUCCUCCCAGAUGAAUCUAGUGCUAGUGAAAUUAAUGAAAGAACAGAUCUUAUAAAAACUCCUAAAGAAACCAAAAGAGUCCUCACAUAAUGUGCGCAGCUUACACUUCCAACCCGCACGGGGUAUUUGACAUUUGUCAGUCUUCCUCCAGCCUUUGUCCGAUAGCAAAAAUUGUUCAACUAUUCAAUUCUUUAUACAUAUGUAUAUAGUGUAGUACGAUAAUAUAUGUAUAAAGUAAAUAUAAUAAUAAACACCUAAAUGGCAUGAUAUUUUCAAU